RNAcentral lists this small RNA (83 nucleotides) under Marmota monax (woodchuck). Lineage: Eukaryota; Metazoa; Chordata; Mammalia; Rodentia; Sciuridae. The record is from RNAcentral.
GCCAGGUGCUGUGGGGCACACCUGUAAUCCCAGUGGUUUGGGAGGCUGAGGCAGGAGGAUAGUGAGUUCAAAGCCAGCCUCAU